UUAUAUUCUAUAAAUACAGUUGCUGUUUCCUAAUGAAACCACUGUAACUUAUCAACAUAAAGCAAGUGAAACCAUGGCGAAAACAAGUUCUCUAUGUUUCCUUGGAUUCCUUUUCGUUCUGAUUGUUCUGAGUUCUAGCGGAGUGAAUGGCCAAUGUCAAGAACUUUGGGACAACGUUAGCUCUUGCGAGCAUUGCGAUGCCUUAUGUACAGAAAUAUACGGAGAAGGAGCUGUGAUUUACGAUUGCGGAGAUAGAUUUAAGGCUGGUCAUACUUGCGUCUGUUGUCCUCCACCAUGAUAAAAAUCACGAGUCGGCGGCCAUCUCUGGGGAUCAUGAAGAGAUAGAAAAAUGACAACAACAGUGUUAACUCUUUCCUCAAUUAGCAUCAUGGUGGAGCGAUUGUUUUCUGUUUUUAAUUUGCUUGCAGUGAUGUUAUUUAUGAGUGAUUUUGAUUACACAUCGCAGUUUAAUUUUCUA
This is a long non-coding RNA of Papaver somniferum (opium poppy), 478 nucleotides long. RefSeq lists it as uncharacterized. Lineage: Eukaryota; Viridiplantae; Streptophyta; Magnoliopsida; Ranunculales; Papaveraceae. The transcript is spliced from 2 exons. The record is from RefSeq and is a predicted model, not a curated record.